Long non-coding RNA from Daphnia pulicaria, 1435 nucleotides. RefSeq lists it as uncharacterized. The transcript has 7 exons. The record is from RefSeq and is a predicted model, not a curated record. Lineage: Eukaryota; Metazoa; Arthropoda; Branchiopoda; Diplostraca; Daphniidae.
UCGAUGUUUCUUAUUUGUUAUGUCCUUGUUAUUUUAAUUAGUGGGGAUGGCCUAAAGCGGGAAUUGUUAUUAAACCAUUUUAAACAUUUUUCUUUCUAACGCUAGAUGAGUUAGAAGCUUAUUUUGCAGCUCAUUUUUCAUUUGUUGCAGUACUUUGCACAUCUCUAAAACAUUUAUCGGCAGUUGGUGUGAAGACAUUUUUAGUGAUAAAUGACAUUGACUAAGUCAGCAACAAACUCAUUUGUUAGAUUUUUUAAACUGUGCUUUUUUCCUACUUCCGGUGCUAAAUGAGUUAGUAUUUCAGUCUAAGCAUGACUUACGUCUCCUCCCUGCUAGCAAGCCCCUGUCUUAUGGAUGUCUUUACUGCUGCUCCAAAUGCGAGUCGACCGAACGGAAUUUGCCAAGAAAUUGUUCCAUAUGUAAUCGGGAAACCCGGGAACUGAAGAUCAAGCCCACGAUUUUCCCUCUACCUCUCUGCUAUGCUAACUCAUAGCGCCAUCGUUGUUCAUCACAAACAAGUGACUCGUACUCUUGCUAAUGGCCAGGUCAGGCUGACUUUUCAGCAAAGAGUCCGCAAAGAGUGGCAGAGAAGAAACUAUAGAAUCCAAUAUAUCAGCUGUAAUGUGUAACAGUAUGUUGAACAUCAUUUCAAGCAAUUAUUCAUCUGUUUUAUUCAUUACCCAUUCCCAACAACGUCAAAAUGCAGAAGGAAAGGCCAGUUUGCAUGUUUUUCACUCGAAGGUCACGGAAAAAAACGUGUCAUGCAGUGGUGUAAGGUUGGGUGAGAACGACACGUGUUGCUUCAUUGUCAAGCAGGUACUAUUGCCGCAAGGCUCAAGAGAUGAGGGUGAGGAAAAAUCGUAUAAAUCGAGAGAGAAAAGGCGACAGAGAUCAAUCAGUCGAGUGAGCAUCUCCGACACGGCAACAACUGCAGCGCACUAUUUUUCAAAGUUCUACCUUCUUCAUCGCAUAACUGGUUCGCAAUCGUGGUUAACUUACUAUGGCGACGUGAUGUUGUUGGGAGUUGUAUCGUUGAUGGCUGGGUCGAUCAGCGGUCUACCGAUGUCUCCUGGGUGUGGUGAAUAUCAAGAAACAGCAGCGAAAGAAUACUAUACCACGCCGCCUCCUUAUUGAGCAACAACGUCAAUACCUACUUACUAUACGGAGGCCUUAAAGUACUACACCACCAAGGCUCUUGAGUAUUAAACUGCAACUUACGCUGCUCCGUCUUAGGAAACAUGGUUAACUGUGGGUCGUGCCGCUGUUGGAUGUUAUAUCAUGUCAUAUCAUUGAUGGCUGGGUCGACCACUGGUGUGCCGAUGUCUCCUGGUUAUGGUAAGUACCAAACCGCAACGCCGCGCCCUUACUACACAACGAAGUCAACAUACGCAACAUCUGUUCUUACACCGAGGCUCCCAAGUACUACACCACCGAG